Molecule: ribosomal RNA, 466 nt
Filed under: uncultured bacterium
Lineage: Bacteria
Description: bacterial SSU rRNA
Rfam family: Bacterial small subunit ribosomal RNA
Source: RNAcentral
CCUACGGGGGGGCAGCAGUGGGGAAUUUUGGACAAUGGGCGAAAGCCUGAUCCAGCAAUGCCGCGUGCAGGAUGAAGGCCUUCGGGUUGUAAACUGCUUUUGUACGGAACGAAAAAGCUCCUUCUAAUACAGGGGGCCCAUGACGGUACCGUAAGAAUAAGCACCGGCUAACUACGUGCCAGCAGCCGCGGUAAUACGUAGGGUGCGAGCGUUAAUCGGAAUUACUGGGCGUAAAGCGUGCGCAGGCGGUUAUGUAAGACAGAUGUGAAAUCCCCGGGCUCAACCUGGGAACUGCAUUUGUGACUGCAUGGCUAGAGUACGGUAGAGGGGGAUGGAAUUCCGCGUGUAGCAGUGAAAUGCGUAGAUAUGCGGAGGAACACCGAUGGCGAAGGCAAUCCCCUGGACCUGUACUGACGCUCAUGCACGAAAGCGUGGGGAGCAAACAGGAUUAGAUACCCCAGUAGUC